GGUGGAGACCCCCAGGGGCCCUGGCUUCAGGCCUGAUGCAGGAGGGGGCACCCCCCCAGGGCUGCAGAGGGCGGCUCUAGGCCCCGGUGGGCCUGGGCGUGGCGGGCAUCACAGAGUGGCCCCGUUUCUGCCCAGUGACCCCAGGCCAGCCGGCAGCCAGCAGGGCGCUGGCUGGGACUGGCCCAUAGCACCCCGGCUCUCCCAGUAAAGGGUGCCCCAGCGCCUGUCCCGGGCUUCCCGUUGCCCCGCUGCGCUGUGGCCAGGCCACGUGACACCAAACCCGGGGGCCUCUCAGGAGCCUCCAGGAGAGCGGCUCCCUGCAGCCCCGCCAUGGCCCCACCAGGUGGCGCUGCUCUGCAGCCCCAGGGCCCAGGGUGUGUCUGCCUGUGUGCGCCAGGCCAACCCGUGGGGGGGUGUGUGCAUGUGUGUGUGUGCGCAUGUGUGUGUGUAUGUGAUGUGCGUGUGUGUGCAUGUGGUGUGUGUGGUGUGUGUGUGCAUGUGGUGUAUGUGUGUGUGCGUGCGCAUGCGUGUGCAUGUGUGUGAUGUGUGUGUAUGUGAUGUGCGUGUGUGUGCAUGUGCGUGUGGUGUGUGCGUGCGAGGGCACACGUGUCGGGGUCUGCUGUGGGGCUUGAGAGCGAGGAGCCAUGGCUCCGGCUUAGUUCCCACUUUCUCCAGCCAACGCCCCUCGUCCUUAGGGCCCUGCUCAGAGGCCGGGCACCUCUGGGCACCAGGCUGCCGUGGCCUCCUGAGGCCCCAGAGCCUGUGUGCCCGCGGCUGCCCUCACCUGGCUGCACGGUGUCGUCUCUUAGCCUGUCCUUCCCGCUCCGCUGUGAGCCCUAUAAGGGAAGGUCUGGGUGUUGUUUGCCUCGGGCUAGCCAGACUUGGCCCCAGGACCUGGCCUGCAGGGCAAAGCCACCUGGUGACCAGUCUGUGCUGGGACUGACCAGGUGCACGGGCUCAGCCAGCCUGGCUCUAAGCAGUCUCUGAGAAUCGAGCUCUAUCAUUAACUAUCUUAUAAUGAAGAAACUAGGGCACAGAGAGGUUAAGUCACUCACCCCACACCACCAGCCAAGAAGGGGCAGAGCCAGCAUCCGCCCCCCCUUCUGUUUUGAGUUUAAGGUUGAGGCCAGUAAAUGACCCCGCCCCCCGGGUGGGUCUAGGCAGGAGGUGCUUCAUCUGCCUGCAGCGCUGCAGGGCACCAGCCCCUACGCCCAGAGCUGGAGGCCGCCGCUCAAGUGCCUCUCCCCCAGGAAGACUUCCCGGCUCUACUCCCCCAGCCCUUGGGCCUCCACACGCCGGUCCCAGCGUCCCCAGAUCAUUCAGGGCCUGGGAGCAGGAGGCAGGGAGCCACCGGCCCCUGGAGGGCCGAGGGGGCUGCUGGGAGCCCUGGAUGCGGUGUCCAGGGCAGACACGAAACGGCCCUGGCAGGAUCUUCUUGGACUCCGAAACCCAGUGUGGUGGCUCAGGCUACUGUCCUGAGACGAAAGGGACGCUGUCCAAGAGCAACCAGCGGCGGUGGUGGGGACUGUCCCAUUUCCAGGCGAGGACAGCUCCGGGAGGUGUUGACUUCUGUGUGCCCGUCGCAGGCCAGGACUCCUGCAGGAGUGAGCCGACCAGGGAGGGGCUUGCUGUCCCCCCAGGGGCCCAGGAGUCCCCACCUGUGGGCCACUGGGGGGCCAUGCACCUCCUGGGCAGUGGUGCCCACCAGCCUGACCAGUGACAGCUCUGUCCAGCAUCCAGAAGGACCAGAGAGGGCUAUAGUGCCCUGGCUUGCUGGGUGCCGGUCCUGCUGCUGCUCUGCCCACUGGCCGGUCACAGUGCCUGGUGGGCUCGCUGUCUGCACAGGCCUGGAAACUCUCACUGGGACAGGCUUCCUUCCUGAAGUGACCCUGGCAGCGCCUCCUUCCGCGGCCGUGGGUGGCCAUCCUGGGCUCUGCCCGCUCGCCCCUCUUUUCUGAACAUCAGCCUCCAGUUGAAAUCCCGAGGCCAGAUGCCAUCCGUGGAGCCUCCCAGCCAGGGGCCAGCCAAGAGCCACCCGGGGCCCCCCUGCCAGGGACGGCCCUGACUCCAGUCCAGCUUCUCCAUUUAGAAAUAAGAGCUGACGGCCGGCCCUCGGCAGCGGCUCUGGUGCCAGGUGGCGGCGGUGUGCACACGAGGCUGAGAGCGCAGGCAGGCGGCACCAGCUCAGGGCCAUGCCCGGGGCCGAUGCACCCUGUGCUGGGGGCCUCCUCCUUCCAGCCCCUCCCCACCCCCAGGGUCCCCCAAUGUCCCUGAGCUCAGACGCUGCUCAGGCCUAAGGCUUCACACCUGUUCUCUCUCUGCGGAGAGUCACCACCGGGAUCCGCCCGGCACUUGGCGGACAGAGCUGAACGAAUGUUUGUUGGUCGAAUAAGUGAAGUCUGGGCUUAAAGCGAGUGUCCGGGAACCCAGGCUGUCCGACGGCUCAGAGGGCAGGGCUCGAGCUGGCGUUCCGGGCCCGGGGAAGGGAGUGCGUGGCCCCGGGGUUUCCAUGGCAGAGGAGGAGGACUCCCCGAAGUCGCCCUCGCCAAGUGCUCGCAGCCCUCGGAAUGUCCCAGUUGGUACAAAUGAGCGGUUUGGAAACGCGGAGCGCUGUGAGGUCUGCCCUCGGUGUAAGGAAGGAGACCAGCUACGCCGAGGAGUGCUCCGACUCGGGGCUCAGAG
This 2682-nucleotide long non-coding RNA is filed under the name Marmota monax (woodchuck). The record is from RNAcentral. Lineage: Eukaryota; Metazoa; Chordata; Mammalia; Rodentia; Sciuridae.